Molecule: small nucleolar RNA, 72 nt
Organism: Nannospalax galili (Upper Galilee mountains blind mole rat)
Lineage: Eukaryota; Metazoa; Chordata; Mammalia; Rodentia; Spalacidae
Gene: Snord45b
Product: small nucleolar RNA, C/D box 45B
Source: Ensembl
GGUCAGUGAUGUUAUGGCAUGUAUUAGCUGAAGGCUGACUUGAUGUAAGCUGUAAAAUUACACUGAGACCUU